UGUGUGUGUGUUAGUGUGUGUGAUAUUUCGUUAGAAAAGCAACGACUACACCAGGAUGAAAAAACACCAUAGCAGAUUGUAAGUGAAGUUAAAUUAUUAAAUAAACACUCACAUGCACAAGUGCAUGUGUAUGAAUGUUUGUGUGUGUGUGUGUGUGUGUGUGUGUGU
Long non-coding RNA from Octopus sinensis (East Asian common octopus), 168 nucleotides. RefSeq lists it as uncharacterized. Lineage: Eukaryota; Metazoa; Mollusca; Cephalopoda; Octopoda; Octopodidae. The transcript is spliced from 3 exons. The record is from RefSeq and is a predicted model, not a curated record.